GUGGGGAAUCUUAGACAAUGGGGGAAACCCUGAUCUAGCCAUGCCGCGUGAUCGAUGAAGGCCUUAGGGUUGUAAAGAUCUUUCAGGUGGGAAGAUAAUGACUGUACCACCAGAAGAAGCCCCGGCUAACUCCGUGCCAGCAGCCGCGGUAAUACGGAGGGGGCUAGCGUUGUUCGGAAUUACUGGGCGUAAAGCGCACGUAGGCGGAUUGGAAAGUUGGGGGUGAAAUCCCGGGGCUCAACCCCGGAACUGCCUUCAAAACUCCCAGUCUUGAGUUCGAGAGAGGUGAGUGGAAUUCCGAGUGUAGAGGUGAAAUUCGUAGAUAUUCGGAGGAACACCAGUGGCGAAGGCGGCUCACUGGCUCGAUACUGACGCUGAGGUGCGAAAGCGUGGGGAGCAAACAGGAUUAGAAACCCCAGUAGUCC
RNAcentral lists this ribosomal RNA (425 nucleotides) under uncultured bacterium. RNAcentral's name for it is "partial 16S ribosomal RNA". It matches the Rfam family "Bacterial small subunit ribosomal RNA", at positions 354 to 796 of the family's 1533-position model. The record is from RNAcentral.